AUUGGUGUAGCAUAACAGGCUAUUGCAAAAGAUUUAAGCCCUUUUUUUAAAGGUUCAAAUCCUUUCUCCAAUU
Molecule: transfer RNA, 73 nt
Filed under: Danionella mirifica
Lineage: Eukaryota; Metazoa; Chordata; Actinopteri; Cypriniformes; Danionidae
Description: tRNA-Leu
Rfam family: tRNA
About the family: Transfer RNA (tRNA) molecules are approximately 80 nucleotides in length. Their secondary structure includes four short double-helical elements and three loops (D, anti-codon, and T loops). Further hydrogen bonds mediate the characteristic L-shaped molecular structure. tRNAs have two regions of fundamental functional importance: the anti-codon, which is responsible for specific mRNA codon recognition, and the 3' end, to which the tRNAs corresponding amino acid is attached (by aminoacyl-tRNA synthetases). tRNAs cope with the degeneracy of the genetic code in two manners: having more than one tRNA (with a specific anti-codon) for a particular amino acid; and 'wobble' base-pairing, i.e. permitting non-standard base-pairing at the 3rd anti-codon position.
Source: RNAcentral